This is a non-coding RNA of Hydra vulgaris (swiftwater hydra), 1232 nucleotides long. NCBI's taxonomy places the organism in Eukaryota, Metazoa, Cnidaria, Hydrozoa, Anthoathecata, Hydridae. The record is from RefSeq and is a predicted model, not a curated record.
AACAUACCCAGUGAAUGUGUUGUUUUGCACUCUAUUUGUUAUAGUAUUACAGUGGUUAUGUUUAAUUGCUACUCAGCUAUUAAUUAAAAGCUGUUUUGGCUGUUACACCUUCAAUUGAAACUGAGUUCCAUGCAUCUAAAUUUUUGUUGAAAAGGAAAUGCUCCCUUUUAUUAAGAGGGAACAUUUCUAUUUUGACUUAAUUGCAGCUCUCAGUGUCUUAAAGCAAUACCCUCUUAAAUAGUUUUCAUAAGUGGAAAACGUUUUCCAAUAUUUAUUUUGUCAAUGUCAUGCAUAAGUUUGUAUAAUUGGAACGAAUCUCUCCUUUUUAUAUUCUCAGAGUUAGCAUGCCUAUGUCAAUCAAUUAAUUUGAAUGUUCAUCUGAACAAAUUUGUUACAAAACAGUCAUAACCAAUUAAAUCAGUGAAGUUUUUAAACAUAAAUUAUUUAAGAAGUUCCAAAAGUAGAAGGAAAGCACAAAUGAAUUAGCUAUGCUUGUAGAAAGAUUUUUAAAUUAGCAUAGUUAAUAAAUACUAUUUGUAACUAUGUUGUAAAUGUAGAAGUUAAAAAUUCUGGUUGCUUAAAUAACAGUUAAUAGAACUUAAUAGAAGGACUUAUUAGGAUAAAAAUCCAUAAUAAUAGGACUUAAAUCCUACAAAUAGGAGUUAUUAGGACUGAUAAUCUAUAAAUGCAGCAGAAAGGAUUUAAAAACUUGCCACUUAUAGUAAAAGCAGUAAUUAUGAAAGUUAAAAAAAAUAUUAUGCUUACAUUUAGAGAAGACCUAGUCGAUAGACUGUUAAAUAUUCAGUAUUCUAACAAGAGUAACUACAUUUUAAUCACUUGUGUAGAUCUUCCAGCACAAGUUAUGACGUUAUUGAAAAUGCCUUAAAACUCAGAUGUUACUAUAAAGUUAGAUUAUAAUUGCAGUGUAUUUCAAGAUACGAUCCUUUAUGAAAUCUUAAGUUCAAUGAAAUUAUGACAAUGGCUCAUGUCAGCUCGCAACAUUGUUUUCAGACGUUAAAUCUAAAUUUUAUUUGGAAAAGAAGUAGAAUGCAACAUUCAAAAAGUGACUUUUAGAUCAAGUCUGUAUAUCUGCCGAAAACCCAAUUGCAAAGUUAAAGCGAUGCUAUAGCCGAGCCCGUAUUUCAAUCUCUCUGAAUAUAUAUCUGUAAAAGAUCGAUCUACAAAUUUGUGAUAUUUUCUGUAUUUCUUUUUGUUAAGGCUUUACCUGAAUA